RNAcentral lists this unclassified non-coding RNA (352 nucleotides) under soil metagenome. RNAcentral's name for it is "partial contains 5.8S ribosomal RNA, internal transcribed spacer 2, and large subunit ribosomal RNA". The stretch from base 1 to 120 matches the Rfam family "5.8S ribosomal RNA", at positions 35 to 154 of the family's 154-position model. The record is from RNAcentral.
GAUGAAGAACGUAGCGAAAUGCGAUAAGUAAUGUGAAUUGCAGAAUUCAGUGAAUCAUCGAAUCUUUGAACGCACAUUGCGCCCGCCAGUAUUCUGGCGGGCAUGCCUGUUCAAGCGUCAUUACAACCCUCAGGCCCCCGGGCCUGGCGUUGGGGAUCGGCGGAGCCCCCCGUGGGCACACGCCGUCCCCCAAAUACAGUGGCGGUCCCGCCGCAGCUUCCAUCGCGUAGUAGCUAACACCUCGCGACUGGAGAGCGGCGCGGCCACGCCGUAAAACACCCAACUCUUCUGAAGUUGACCUCGAAUCAGGUAGGAAUACCCGCUGAACUUAAGCAUAUCAAUAAGCGGAGGA